UACGUAGGGUGCAGGCGUUAAUCGGAAUUACUGGGCGUAAAGCGUGCGCAGGCGGUUUGCUAAGACAGGUGUGAAAUCCCCGGGCUUAACCUGGGAACUGCGCUUGUAACUGGCAAGCUAGAGUGUGGCAGAGGGGGGUGGAAUUCCACGUGGAGCAGUGAAAUGCGUAGAGAUGUGGAGGAACACCGAUGGCGAAGGCAGCCCCCUGGGCUAACACUGACGCUCAUGCACGAAAGCGUGGGGAGCAAACAGG
This 253-nucleotide ribosomal RNA is filed under the name uncultured bacterium. Its description in RNAcentral is "partial 16S ribosomal RNA". It matches the Rfam family "Bacterial small subunit ribosomal RNA", at positions 524 to 776 of the family's 1533-position model. The record is from RNAcentral.